GGGGAGUACGGCCGCAAGGUUAAAACUCAAAUGAAUUGACGGGGGCCCGCACAAGCGGUGGAGCAUGUGGUUUAAUUCGAUGCAACGCGAAGAACCUUACCUGGUCUUGACAUCCACAGAAUCUUGCAGAGAUGCGAGAGUGCCUUCGGGAACUGUGAGACAGGUGCUGCAUGGCUGUCGUCAGCUCGUGUUGUGAAAUGUUGGGUUAAGUCCCGCAACGAGCGCAACCCUUAUCCUUUGUUGCCAGCGAUUAGGUCGGGAACUCAAAGGAGACUGCCGUUGAUAAAGCGGAGGAAGGUGGGGACGACGUCAAGUCAUCAUGGCCCUUACGACCAGGGCUACACACGUGCUACAAUGGCGUAUACAAAGGGAGGCGACCUCGCGAGAGCAAGCGGACCUCAUAAAGUACGUCUAAGUCCGGAUUGGAGUCUGCAACUCGACUCCAUGAAGUCGGAAUCGCUAGUAAUCGUGAAUCAGAAUGUCACGGUGAAUACGUUCCCGGGCCU
RNAcentral lists this ribosomal RNA (506 nucleotides) under uncultured Gammaproteobacteria bacterium. Its description in RNAcentral is "bacterial SSU rRNA". It matches the Rfam family "Bacterial small subunit ribosomal RNA", at positions 875 to 1381 of the family's 1533-position model. Lineage: Bacteria; Pseudomonadati; Pseudomonadota; Gammaproteobacteria. The record is from RNAcentral.